UGGGGAAUAUUGCACAAUGGGGGAAACCCUGAUGCAGCGACGCCGCGUGGAGGAAGAAGGUCUUCGGAUUGUAAACUCCUGUUGUUGAGGAAGAUAAUGACGGUACUCAACAAGGAAGUGACGGCUAACUACGUGCCAGCAGCCGCGGUAAAACGUAGGUCACAAGCGUUGUCCGGAAUUACUGGGUGUAAAGGGAGCGCAGGCGGGAGAACAAGUUGGAAGUGAAAUCUAUGGGCUCAACCCAUAAACUGCUUUCAAAACUGUUUUUCUUGAGUAGUGCAGAGGUAGGCGGAAUUCCCGGUGUAGCGGUGGAAUGCGUAGAUAUUAGGAGGAACAUCAGUGGCGAAGGCGGCUUACUGGGCUUUAACUGACGCUGAGGCUCGAAAGCGUGGGGAGCAAACAGGAUUAGAUACCCUGGUAGUCCACGCCGUAAACGAUGAUUACUAGGUGUUGGAGGAUUGACCCCUUCAGUGCCGCAGUUAACACAAUAAGUAAUCCACCUGGGGAGUACGACCGCAAGGUUGAAACUCAAAGGAAUUGACGGGGGCCCGCACAAGCAGUGGAGUAUGUGGUUUAAUUCGACGCAACGCGAAGAACCUUACCAAGUCUUGACAUCCCUUGACAGGCAUAGAAAUAUGUUUUCUCUUCGGAGCAAGGAGACAGGUGGUGCAUGGUUGUCGUCAGCUCGUGUCGUGAGAUGUUGGGUUAAGUCCCGCAACGAGCGCAACCCUUAUGGUCAGUUACUACGCAAGAGGACUCUGGCCAGACUGCCGUUGACAAAACGGAGGAAGGUGGGGAUGACGUCAAAUCAUCAUGCCCUUUAUGACUUGGGCUACACACGUACUACAAUGACGUUAAACAAAGAGAAGCAAGACCGCGAGGGGGAGCAAAACUCAGAAACAACGUCCCAGUUCGGACUGCAGGCUGCAACUCGCCUGCAGGAAGUCGGAAUUGCUAGUAAUCGUGGAUCAGCAUGCCACGGUGAAUACGUUCCC
This 995-nucleotide ribosomal RNA is filed under the name uncultured bacterium. RNAcentral's name for it is "bacterial SSU rRNA". It matches the Rfam family "Bacterial small subunit ribosomal RNA", at positions 355 to 1375 of the family's 1533-position model. The record is from RNAcentral.